CGAACGGGUGAGUAACGCGUGAGGAACCUGCCUCAAAGAGGGGGACAACAGUUGGAGACGACUGCUAAUACCGCAUAAGCCCACGAUCCGGCAUCGGGUAGAGGGAAAAGGAGCAAUCCGCUUUGAGAUGGCCUCGCGUCCGAUUAGCUAGUUGGUGAGGUAAUGGCCCACCAAGGCGACGAUCGGUAGCCGGACUGAGAGGUUGAACGGCCACAUUGGGACUGAGACACGGCCCAG
This 237-nucleotide ribosomal RNA is filed under the name uncultured bacterium. RNAcentral describes it as "partial 16S ribosomal RNA". It matches the Rfam family "Bacterial small subunit ribosomal RNA", at positions 99 to 334 of the family's 1533-position model. The record is from RNAcentral.